AACCUCCGCAAUGUGAGAAAUCGCGACGGGGGGAUCCCAAGUGCCAUUCUUAACGGGAUGGCUUUUCAUUAGUGUAAAGAGCUUUUGGAAUAAGAGCUGGGCAAGACCGGUGCCAGCCGCCGCGGUAACACCGGCAGCUCUAGUGGUAACAAUUUUUAUUGGGCCUAAAGCGUCCGUAGCCGGUUUAAUAAGUCUCUGGUGAAAUCCUGUAGCUUAACUGUGGGAAUUGCUGGAGAUACUAUUAGACUUGAGACCGGGAGAGGUUAGAGGUACUCCCAGGGUAGAGGUGAAAUUCUGUAAUCCUGGGAGGACCGCCUGUUGCGAAGGCGUCUAACUGGAACGGUUCUGACGGUGAGGGACGAAAGUUAGGGGCGCGAACCGGAUUAGAUACCCGGGUAGUCCUAACUGUAAACGAUGCGGACUUGGUGUUGGGGUGGCUUUGAGCUGCUCCAGUGCCGAAGGGAAGCUGUUAAGUCCGCCGCCUGGGGAGUACGGUCGCAAGACUGAAACUUAAAGGAAUU
RNAcentral lists this ribosomal RNA (521 nucleotides) under uncultured bacterium. RNAcentral describes it as "bacterial SSU rRNA". It matches the Rfam family "Archaeal small subunit ribosomal RNA", at positions 345 to 866 of the family's 1478-position model. The record is from RNAcentral.